CUUUCAAACCUUGGUGCUUCUUCCUAUGCGGCCCCUCACACGUUGGAGGCGCUCCCUUUAAACGUCUUGAAAAAUCAACUCCUGUCGCUUUAAAGCCCUCCUUUGCUGUGAUGCCUACAAAUCCCUCAACUGCUGCUGUGCUGAGACCACUGCUGGCCAGGACUGUCUCUGUUUCCAGGCCUCAGGAGUGCCAUCACUUUUUACCAAAUGAAGAGGCAUGAAAGAUGUGCUCGCUGCAGUCCAAUAUGAAGAUAUAAAAUGAAUGAAGUACAGGGAGCAUAGGCCCAGUUUGGAAAUAGCCCAAGAAUUAACUCUUUGUGCUACCAUCUGAUUUCACAGUGUGUCACCUCUAGAACUUUACAUCAUUAAUCACUGACAUGCUACCAGGCCUCAGACAAGCCUAGGGGCUUUCCCAGGAUUCCCUGCUGGUUGGCAGGUGAAGGAGUCACAGCCAAGGACUUUUUGAAAUACAGCCCAGGUACAAGACAUAUUAAGCUGGAGUGGCCAUUCCCAGGAACAAUGGAACGCCCUAAUCUGUUGUUACCUGUAAACCCCACUCCAAUCACAUUGAAUAAUUAAAAAUCUGAUUAUUUUAUUAACUUGAAAUUUAAGUAGAAACAAAGAGACACCAUAAAUCACUGGGCAUUUGUAAAAGUCACUAUAUUUCACGUGCAACAAGAUUAAUGUUCCUCCCUCCCCCGCUUUACUUAUAAAAUGUAAAUGUUUUCUAGUGGCCCCAACUUCUGGAGAGCAGAGCUGAGGGUGUGUGCAAGGGUGGGGGAGAGGGAACUACAGGGGGUAGAAAACAGAAGUUAAA
Molecule: long non-coding RNA, 817 nt
Organism: Malaclemys terrapin pileata
Lineage: Eukaryota; Metazoa; Chordata; Testudines; Emydidae
Exons: 4
Source: RefSeq, a predicted model, not a curated record